Molecule: ribosomal RNA, 253 nt
Filed under: uncultured bacterium
Lineage: Bacteria
Description: partial 16S ribosomal RNA
Rfam family: Bacterial small subunit ribosomal RNA
Source: RNAcentral
UACAGAGGCCUCAAGCGUUGUUCGGAUUCAUUGGGCGUAAAGGGUGCGUAGGUGGCGGGGUAAGUCUGGUGUGAAAUCUCGGGGCUCAACCCCGAAACUGCACUGGAUACUGCCUUGCUCGAGUACUGGAGGGGAGAUUGGAAUUUACGGUGUAGCAGUGAAAUGCGUAGAUAUCGUAAGGAAGACCAGUUGCGAAGGCGAAUCUCUGGGCAGUUACUGACACUGAGGCACGAAGGCCAGGGGAGCAAACGUG